GUGCUCACUUCAGCAGCACAUACACUAAAAUUGGAACAAUACGGAGAAGAUUAUCAGCGCCCCUGUACAAGGAUGAGACACAAAUUUGAGAAAGAAAUUGAUGUUUU
Molecule: small nuclear RNA, 107 nt
Organism: Lontra canadensis (Northern American river otter)
Lineage: Eukaryota; Metazoa; Chordata; Mammalia; Carnivora; Mustelidae
Source: RefSeq, a predicted model, not a curated record